AUAAAACCAGCCCUGCCAGGACCCUGCAGCUCUGGCAAGGAGCCCAGCCCCAGGAUCCCGUUCUGUGAUCCGGAAAGAACACAGACCACCCGCCAUGGAGUUUCGGCUGAACUGGGUGGUCUUGUUUGCUCUCUUACAAGGUGUCCAGGGUGAGGUGAAGCUGGUGGAGUCUGGAGGAGGCCUGGUGCAGCCUGGGGGGUCUCUGAAACUCUCCUGUGUCGGCUCUGGAUACACCUUCAGUAGUUAUGGCAUGAGCUGGGUCCGCCAGGCUCCAGGGAAGGGGCUGGAGUGGCUGGCAUGUAUUUAUAGUAGUGGUAGUAGCACCUACUACGCAGACUCUGUGAAGGGCCGAUUCACCAUCUCCAGAGACAAUUCCCAGAACACGGCCUAUCUGCAAAUGAACAGCCUGAAAACCGAAGACACGGCCCGCUAUUACUGUGCUAGAGACACAGUGAGGGGAAAGCAUGUCAGCCCAGACACAAACCUCCCUGCAGGGGCACAGGGUCUGGGCUGCAGGGGGCGCUCAGGACCCACAAUCACUAUGUGUGUUUUUCAUGCCCAGGAGCAGUCCGAGGUUGCACUAGGCAUCAAGAGAAACACCCCUGCUCUCUCAUUCCAGGAAGCAAUCACUGCAACCUCACUAGCCAUUGCCAACUCUCUCCAGGAAUUCCUGUGA
Molecule: non-coding RNA, 676 nt
Organism: Sus scrofa (pig)
Lineage: Eukaryota; Metazoa; Chordata; Mammalia; Artiodactyla; Suidae
Source: the annotation of a RefSeq genome assembly